GGCGGACGGGUGAGUAACGCGUGGGUAACCUGCCUUAUACUGGGGGAUAACAUUCUGAAAAGGAUGCUAAUACCGCAUAAGCGCACAGUGUCGCAUGACACAGUGUGAAAAACUCCGGUGGUAUAAGAUGGACCCGCGUCUGAUUAGCUAGUUGGUGAGAUAAUAGCUCACCAAGGCAACGAUCAGUAGCCGACCUGAGAGGGUGAUCGGCCACAUUGGGACUGAGACACGGCCCAAACUCCUACGGGAGGCAGCAGUGGGGAAUAUUGCACAAUGGGGGAAACCCUGAUGCAGCGACGCCGCGUGAAGGAUGAAGGUUUUCGGAUCGUAAACUUCUAUCAGCAGGGAAGAAAAUGACUGUACCUGACUAAGAAGCCCCGGCUAACUACGUGCCAGCAGCCGCGGUAAUACGUAGGGGGCAAGCGUUAUCCGGAAUUACUGGGUGUAAAGGGUGCGUAGGCGGUUUGCUAAGUUAGGUGUGAAAGCCCGGGGCUCAACCUCGGGACUGCACUUAAAACUGGCAAACUAGAAUACAGGAGAGGUAAGUGGAAUUCCUAGUGUAGCGGUGAAAUGCGUAGAUAUUAGGAGGAACACCAGUGGCGAAGGCGACUUACUGGACUGUUAUUGACGCUGAGGCACGAAAGCGUGGG
This 650-nucleotide ribosomal RNA is filed under the name uncultured bacterium. Its description in RNAcentral is "bacterial SSU rRNA". It matches the Rfam family "Bacterial small subunit ribosomal RNA", at positions 97 to 765 of the family's 1533-position model. The record is from RNAcentral.